Molecule: ribosomal RNA, 254 nt
Filed under: uncultured bacterium
Lineage: Bacteria
Description: partial 16S ribosomal RNA
Rfam family: Bacterial small subunit ribosomal RNA
Source: RNAcentral
UACGUAGGGUGCGAGCGUUGUCCGGAAUUAUUGGGCGUAAAGAGCUCGUAGGCGGUGUGUCACGUCGGCCGUGAAAACCUGCAGCUUAACUGUGGGCGUGCGGUCGAUACGGGCAUCACUGGAGUUCGGCAGGGGAGACUGGAAUUCCUGGUGUAGCGGUGAAAUGCGCAGAUAUCAGGAGGAACACCGGUGGCGAAGGCGGGUCUCUGGGCCGAUACUGACGCUGAGGCACGAAAGCUAGGGGAGCAAACAGG